Molecule: transfer RNA, 72 nt
Filed under: Dipodomys ordii (Ord's kangaroo rat)
Lineage: Eukaryota; Metazoa; Chordata; Mammalia; Rodentia; Heteromyidae
Rfam family: tRNA
About the family: Transfer RNA (tRNA) molecules are approximately 80 nucleotides in length. Their secondary structure includes four short double-helical elements and three loops (D, anti-codon, and T loops).
Source: Rfam by way of RNAcentral
UGGAGUGUAGCUCAGUGGCAAAGCGCUUGCCUAGCAAGUGCAACAUCCUGGGUUCAAUCCCCAGCACCCCCC